This 211-nucleotide non-coding RNA is filed under the name Aurantiochytrium limacinum. Lineage: Eukaryota; Bigyra; Thraustochytrida; Thraustochytriidae. The record is from RNAcentral.
ACCCACGUAAACCCGGAUAUUUUCCAGUAAUUUGAGGUCCCUCGAAAAGCUUAUCAAAGCUAUCCCGAGAGGCAUCAUUUCUGUGAAAUUAGCUCAGCUUUAUAGCAGCUUUAUAUAUCCGUAUUUUAAGAGUCUGCUAUAGUGUGCUCGAGAGCGCACUUUACGAUUAAGGUGCUCGCUUAGACAAUCGGAGGACGUGGAGAAAGUUUGC